AAUUCUAUGUUUGAUUGGUCCAUUCUACUUAUUGACAACUCGAACCGAAGUGGAUCAAUGGAUUUUGUUGUUCCCCCAACAGACUCAUCUGUAU
Humulus lupulus (European hop) is the source of this 94-nucleotide long non-coding RNA. RefSeq lists it as uncharacterized. NCBI's taxonomy places the organism in Eukaryota, Viridiplantae, Streptophyta, Magnoliopsida, Rosales, Cannabaceae. The transcript has 2 exons. The record is from RefSeq and is a predicted model, not a curated record.